This 279-nucleotide unclassified non-coding RNA is filed under the name plant metagenome. RNAcentral's name for it is "partial contains small subunit ribosomal RNA, internal transcribed spacer 1, and 5.8S ribosomal RNA". The record is from RNAcentral.
UUUCCGUAGGUGAACCUGCGGAAGGAUCAUUACCGAGUGAGGGACUCUCAGGCCCGACCUCCCACCCAGUCCUUUUGUGACCUUGUUGCUUUGGCCGAUCCGCCUCGAUGACCGGCCCCCGGAAGCUCACCGCUUCCAGCCCCUGCCCGCUAGUAAAACCCCUUAAUUCUUAAUAAACCUGUCAUCAGACUAUAGAUAUAAUAAAAAAAACUUUCAUCAACGGAUCUAUUGGUUCUGGCAUCGACGAAGAACGACGCAGAUCGACAGCGCACACGCCCC